RNAcentral lists this microRNA (20 nucleotides) under Corchorus capsularis. RNAcentral's name for it is "sRNA CCACVL1_23295". Lineage: Eukaryota; Viridiplantae; Streptophyta; Magnoliopsida; Malvales; Malvaceae. The record is from RNAcentral.
AUUAUAGAAUAUAUAUGUAA